UACGGAGGGGGCUAGCGUUGUUCGGAAUUACUGGGCGUAAAGCGCGCGUAGGCGGAUUGGAAAGUCAGAGGUGAAAUCCCAGGGCUCAACCCUGGAACUGCCUUUGAACCUCCCAGUCUUGAGGUCGAGAGAGGUGAGUGGAAUUCCGAGUGUAGAGGUGAAAUUCGUAGAUAUUCGGAGGAACACCAGUGGCGAAGGCGGCUCACUGGCUCGAUACUGACGCUGAGGUGCGAAAGCGUGGGGAGCAAACAGG
Molecule: ribosomal RNA, 253 nt
Filed under: uncultured bacterium
Lineage: Bacteria
Description: partial 16S ribosomal RNA
Rfam family: Bacterial small subunit ribosomal RNA
Source: RNAcentral